RNAcentral lists this ribosomal RNA (503 nucleotides) under uncultured bacterium. RNAcentral's name for it is "partial 16S ribosomal RNA". It matches the Rfam family "Bacterial small subunit ribosomal RNA", at positions 30 to 523 of the family's 1533-position model. The record is from RNAcentral.
AUUGAACGCUGGCGGCAGGCUUAACACAUGCAAGUCGAGCGGGGUGAUGGUGCUUGCACUAUCACUUAGCGGCGGACGGGUGAGUAAUGCAUAGGAAUCUGCCUAUUAGUGGGGGACAACAUCUCGAAAGGGAUGCUAAUACCGCGUACGUCCUACGGGAGAAAGCAGGGGAUCACUUGUGACCUUGCGCUAAUAGAUGAGCCUAAGUCGGAUUAGCUAGUUGGUGGGGUAAAGGCCUACCAAGGCGACGAUCUGUAGCGGGUCUGAGAGGUGGGUCCGCCACACUGGGACUGAGACACGGCCCAGACUCCUACGGGAGGCAGCAGUGGGGAAUAUUGGACAAUGGGGGGAACCCUGAUCCAGCCAUGCCGCGUGUGUGAAGAAGGCCUUAUGGUUGUAAAGCACUUUAAGCGAGGAGGAGGCUCUUUUGGUUAAUACCCAAGAUGAGUGGACGUUACUCGCAGAAUAAGCACCGGCUAACUCUGUGCCAGCAGCCGCCGUAA